CCUACGGGAGGCAGCAGUGAGGAAUAUUGGUCAAUGUGCGCGAGCCUGAACCAGCCAAGUAGCGUGAAGGAUGACUGCCCUACGGGUUGUAAACUUCUUUUAUAAAGGAAUAAAGUGAGGCACGUGUGCCUUUUUGUAUGUACUUGAUGAAUAAGGAUCGGCUAACUCCGUGCCAGCAGCCGCGGUAAUACGGGGGAUACGAGCGUUAUCCGGAUUUAUUGGGUUUAAAGGGAGCGUAGAUGGGUUGUUAAGUCAGUUGUGAAAUUUUGCGGCUCAACCGUAAAAGUGCAAUUGAUACUGGCAGUCUUGAGUACAGUAGAGGUAUGCGGAAUUCGUGGUGUAGCGGUGAAAUGCAUAGAUAUCACGAAGAACUCCGAUUGCGAAGGCAGCUUACU
This 395-nucleotide ribosomal RNA is filed under the name uncultured bacterium. Its description in RNAcentral is "partial 16S ribosomal RNA". It matches the Rfam family "Bacterial small subunit ribosomal RNA", at positions 338 to 730 of the family's 1533-position model. The record is from RNAcentral.